This 164-nucleotide ribosomal RNA is filed under the name Camellia lawii. RNAcentral's name for it is "5.8S ribosomal RNA". It matches the Rfam family "5.8S ribosomal RNA". From Rfam's summary of the family: 5.8S ribosomal RNA (5.8S rRNA) is a component of the large subunit of the eukaryotic ribosome. It is transcribed by RNA polymerase I as part of the 45S precursor that also contains 18S and 28S rRNA. Lineage: Eukaryota; Viridiplantae; Streptophyta; Magnoliopsida; Ericales; Theaceae. The record is from RNAcentral.
UGAACGACUCUCGGCAACGGAUAUCUCGGCUCUCGCAUCGAUGAAGAACGUAGCGAAAUGCGAUACUUGGUGUGAAUUGCAGAAUCCCGCGAACCAUCGAGACUUUGAACGCAAGUUGCGCCCGAAGCCAUUAGGUCGAGGGCACGUCUACCUGGGCGCCUCAC